Molecule: RNA transcript, 1966 nt
Organism: Eucalyptus grandis
Lineage: Eukaryota; Viridiplantae; Streptophyta; Magnoliopsida; Myrtales; Myrtaceae
Exons: 3
Source: RefSeq, a predicted model, not a curated record
UCUUCAUCUAUCGCAUCUCCUUCACUCAUUAUCUCAAACAUAUCCAACUUGAUACCCAUCAAAUUGAACAGCUCGAACCAUCUUCUUUGGCGUUCUCUUUUCGAACCAAUUCUCAAAGGUCACAAUCUCAUGUCUUACAUUGAUGGAACCUCCCAAGCGCCUGCUUCAACUGACGAAAAUUACAAGACAUGGAUUGAAAAAGAUAAGAUGAUAUUCUCCUGGAUCAACGCUACUUCGUCUGAAUCUACACUUCCAUAUGUAGUUGGCGCUACAUCUGCAAAAGUCGUGUGGGAUGUCCUCGCUCGUCGCUAUGCCUCUCUCACUCCUGCUCAUGUAAUGUCUCUGAAAAGACAAUUACAUCACCUCAAGAAGGGCAACCUCACCAUGCAAGAAUAUCUCCAACAAUUCAAAACUUUAGCUGAUAAACUCGCAAUUUGUGGAUCUCCAGUAAGUGAUGAUGAUCUCCUAUUUUCAUUCUCGAUGGAUUGCCUGCUGCUUACCGCUCCUUUGUAUCCUCUAUUCGUGUUCAUGCUCAUCAAACUUCCAUCACUAUUGAAGAUUUACACAAUUUCCUACUCUCUGAAGAGCUGAGCAUCACUGAUGAUUUAUUAUCCAAAACUACUACUGCCUUCAUUGCAAACUGGCAAUCUCAAACUCUUUCUCCUGGGUAGCACUCAUUCACACCUCGUCUCUAUAGGGGUGGCACUAGUUAUAGGGGACGCAACAUGCGUCAUUCCAAUCGAGCUGGACUUCUCCCUACUCCAUCAUUUCGACCUCAAGGUUGUCAACUGAAUACUAGUCGGCUAAUCUAUCAUAUCUGCAACAAACAUGGCCAUAGUGCCAUUGAUUGCUAUCAUCGCAUGAACUAUGCAUGCCACGAUCACAAUCCUCCUGAAAAACUUGCUGCCAUGGCUAUUGCACCACCUACUAAUGAUGGCACUUGAUAUAUUGAUACUAGCACCAGCCAUCAUAUUACAGUCGAUCUGGGUAAUCUCUCCAUCUCCGCUCCCUAUAGUGGUUCUGAUGAAGUUCAGGUUGGAAAUGGCCAAGGUCAUUCUCACGUUGGCGGUCACCUAUGGAUGGGCGAUUCAACAACUUGAUGUCAAAUGUGCAUUUUUACACGGCGAUCUCCAAGAAACUAAAAUGAUUCUAAAGCUAUGUCUGCUAUCGUUGAGGAACUUCGCCACUCAUUCAAGAUGAAGGACUAAAGCCCUUUGACUUAUUUCUUGGGCAUUCAGCUUGUUCGACGAAGCCCCCAUCAUAUAUUCCUUAAUCAGGCAAAGUAUAUUCAUGACCUCUUAUAUUGCACCAAUAUGUUGGACUGUAAGCCUGUUUUCAGUCCAACUACCUCGAAUAAACUCGGUCAUUCAAGCAGUGACCUUGUCUCAGAUCCUACACUAUAUAGGAGUGAGUGUUGUUGGAGCACUUCAAUAUGUUACUUUCAGUCAUCUUGACGUUAGCUAUGCUGUUAAUCAGGCUUGUCAAUUUCUCAAAGCACUCGAAGAACACCAUUGGCGUGCUGUAAAGCGUAUCCUUCGCUAUUUGAAAGGCACAAUCUCUUAUGGCAUGCAAAUUCAACCUGGUCCUAUUUCUUUACAUGCCUAUUGUGACGCUAAUUAAGCUAGCAAUCCUUAUGAUCGUCACUCUACUAGUGGCUAUUGUUUAUUUCUCGGGGCCAACCUUGUUUCUUGGAGUGCAAAAAAGCAACCUACUAUUGCAUGUUCUUCUAUAGAGGCCAAGUAUCGUUGUCUUGCUCAAACAGCUCCUGAAAUUCAAUGGCUCCUCUCUCUUCUCCGAGAAUUACGAAUCUCGCUCGCUUGCGCUCCCGUAUUGUGGUGUGACAAUAUCUCUACCAUUGCUCUAACUCGAAAUCUAGUUUUUCAUAGUCACACUAAACACAUUGAAAUAGAUUGUCACUAUGUUCGUGAAUUGGUGGGUCGCUAGUUACUUGACAUCCAUUACAUCA